Molecule: ribosomal RNA, 497 nt
Filed under: uncultured bacterium
Lineage: Bacteria
Description: partial 16S ribosomal RNA
Rfam family: Bacterial small subunit ribosomal RNA
Source: RNAcentral
GACGAACGCUGGCGGCGUGCCUAAUACAUGCAAGUAGAACGCUGAAGAGAGGAGCUUGCUCUUCUUGGAUGAGUUGCGAACGGGUGAGUAACGCGUAGGUAACCUGCCUUGUAGCGGGGGAUAACUAUUGGAAACGAUAGCUAAUACCGCAUAACAAUGGAUGACACAUGUCAUUUAUUUGAAAGGGGCAAUUGCUCCACUACAAGAUGGACCUGCGUUGUAUUAGCUAGUAGGUGAGGUAAUGGCUCACCUAGGCGACGAUACAUAGCCGACCUGAGAGGGUGAUCGGCCACACUGGGACUGAGACACGGCCCAGACUCCUACGGGAGGCAGCAGUAGGGAAUCUUCGGCAAUGGGGGCAACCCUGACCGAGCAACGCCGCGUGAGUGAAGAAGGUUGUCGGAUCGUAAAGCUCUGUUGUAAGUCAAGAGCGGGUGUGAGAGUGGAAAGUUCACACUGUGACGGUAGCUUACCAGAAAGGGACGGCUAACUACGUG